Molecule: ribosomal RNA, 497 nt
Filed under: uncultured bacterium
Lineage: Bacteria
Description: partial 16S ribosomal RNA
Rfam family: Bacterial small subunit ribosomal RNA
Source: RNAcentral
GAUGAACGCUGGCGGCGUGCCUAAUACAUGCAAGUCGAGCGAACGGACGAGAAGCUUGCUUUUCUGAUGUUAGCGGCGGACGGGUGAGUAACACGUGGAUAACCUACCUAUAAGACUGGGAUAACUUCGGGAAACCGGAGCUAAUACCGGAUAAUAUUUUGAACCGCAUGGUUCAAAAGUGAAAGACGGUCUUGCUGUCACUUAUAGAUGGAUCCGCGCUGCAUUAGCUAGUUGGUAAGGUAACGGCUUACCAAGGCAACGAUGCAUAGCCGACCUGAGAGGGUGAUCGGCCACACUGGAACUGCGACACGGUCCAGACUCCUACGGGAGGCAGCAGUAGGGAAUCUUCCGCAAUGGGCGAAAGCCUGACGGAGCAACGCCGCGUGAGUGAUGAAGGUCUUCGGAUCGUAAAACUCUGUUAUUAGGGAAGAACAUAUGUGUAAGUAACUGUGCACAUCUUGACGGUACCUAAUCAGAAAGCCACGGCUAACUACGUG